RNAcentral lists this long non-coding RNA (817 nucleotides) under Brachypodium distachyon (stiff brome). RNAcentral's name for it is "long non-coding RNA (BDIS_LNC004577)". The record is from RNAcentral. Lineage: Eukaryota; Viridiplantae; Streptophyta; Magnoliopsida; Poales; Poaceae.
CUAGGACAGAUCAUAGCUAGCAUAGAUACAGUAAUAAUCCUAACAAUGCAACUAAUAAAAUGUAGUGCACAAUAAAAUAAUGGGUAAAUGAUCAAAGUGAACUUGCCUUUGUCGCGGUAGUUUGAAUUCAAACACUCCUCACACUCGCAAAGUUCGCUCUCCGAGAAAACUAUACGAGACAAACAAACAUACACAUACAUAAACACACAAUUCACAUCACGACAAAUUAAGAUAUGCUAUGAUGCAAUGCAACAUGUGACAUGAUUUGGUUUAUUUUAUUUGGGUGAUCCACUGAUCCAAGGCCUUGAGAAUUAAGCACAUGCAAUUAGGGUUUUAAACAAAAAGCAAAAGCUAGUUCUCAAACCCUAAAAUGAGAUUUUAUUUGCAUCUGCAAGGCAAUUUAAUUCAAAAUAUUUAUUUCUCUGUCCCUUUGGACAGAGGACAAUAAAACAAAAUUUUGGGCACUGGUUUCAUUCAAAAAGGACUUCUAGAUAAUUAGUUAUGAUUUAAAUGGCAUAAAACCCUAAUCUGUAAUUUGAAUGUGAUUCAAAAAUUCAAAUUUGAAAAAGAACAGUGCCAAAAGAUUCUACAUUUCCUAAGAAUUCCAAAAAGGUGUGGGUCGUGAAUUUUGGACAAGUGGUUUAAAAGUUAUGACGGUUUGAAACACUGGGGGCUUUUCUGCAAAUGUGCACUUUUAUUUCGGCCGAAAAAUAAAACAAAAACUAAAAGGAAAAAAAAUGAACCUGCCACGUGGCGGCGCGGCACUGGCUGGCGCCUAGGGCUUUACCCCGGGUGGCGCGGGCUCGCCGGACGGCGG